RNAcentral lists this ribosomal RNA (301 nucleotides) under uncultured bacterium. RNAcentral's name for it is "partial 16S ribosomal RNA". It matches the Rfam family "Bacterial small subunit ribosomal RNA", at positions 509 to 807 of the family's 1533-position model. The record is from RNAcentral.
CAGCCGCCGCGGGAAUACGGAGGGUGCAAGCGUUAAUCGGAAUUACUGGGCGUAAAGCGCACGCAGGCGGUCUGACAAGUCAGAUGUGAAAUCCCCGGGCUUAACCUGGGAACUGCAUUUGAAACUGUCUGGCUGGAGUCUUGUAGAGGGGGGUGGAAUUCCAGGUGUAGCGGUGAAAUGCGUAGAGAUCUGGAGGAAUACCGGUGGCGAAGGCGGCCCCCUGGACAAAGACUGACGCUCAGGUGCGAAAGCGUGGGGAGCAAACAGGAUUAGAUACCCGCGUAGUCCCUGUCUCUUAUAC